Molecule: ribosomal RNA, 405 nt
Filed under: uncultured bacterium
Lineage: Bacteria
Description: bacterial SSU rRNA
Rfam family: Bacterial small subunit ribosomal RNA
Source: RNAcentral
UAGGGAAUAUUGGACAAUGGGGGAAACCCUGAUCCAGCAACGCCGCGUGAGUGAUGAAGGCCUUCGGGUCGUAAAGCUCUGUCGCAGGGGACGAAAAAAAUGACGGUACCCUGCAAGAAAGGACCGGCCAACUUCGUGCCAGCAGCCGCGGUAAUACGGGGGGUCCAAGCGUUGUCCGGAAUCACUGGGCGUAAAGCGUGUGUAGGUGGCUUUUCAAGUCGUGUGUGAAAGCCCGGGGCCUAACCCCGGAAGUGCACUCGAUACUGUUAAGCUUGAGUAUCAGAGAGGAUAGUGGAAUUCCAGGUGUAGUGGUGAAAUACGUAGAUAUCUGGAGGAACACCGGUGGCGAAGGCGGCUAUCUGGCUGAAUACUGACACUGAAACACGAAAGCGUGGGGAUCAAACA